GUAAAUGAUGAGAUAAUCUGGAAUCUCGUUCGUCUGAACUGCUGUUGAGAAAACCACAUCUGACAUCA
RNAcentral lists this small nucleolar RNA (68 nucleotides) under Fundulus heteroclitus (mummichog). Its description in RNAcentral is "Small nucleolar RNA SNORD30 (ENSFHEG00000005297.1)". It matches the Rfam family "Small nucleolar RNA SNORD30". Rfam says of the family: U30 is a member of the C/D class of snoRNA which contain the C (UGAUGA) and D (CUGA) box motifs. U30 is encoded within the U22 snoRNA host gene (UHG) in mammals and is thought to act as a 2'-O-ribose methylation guide for ribosomal RNA. The record is from RNAcentral. Lineage: Eukaryota; Metazoa; Chordata; Actinopteri; Cyprinodontiformes; Fundulidae.